Molecule: ribosomal RNA, 264 nt
Filed under: Acidobacteriota bacterium
Lineage: Bacteria; Pseudomonadati; Acidobacteriota
Description: Acidobacteria bacterium partial 16S ribosomal RNA
Rfam family: Bacterial small subunit ribosomal RNA
Source: RNAcentral
UUCAAACGAGAGUUUGAUCCUGGCUCAGAAUCAACGCUGGCGGCGUGCCUAACACAUGCAAGUCGAACGAGAAAGUGGAGCAAUCCACGAGUACAGUGGCGACCGGGUGAGUAACACGUGAUCAACCUACCCUUGAGUGGGGGAUAACUCCGGGAAACCGGAGCUAAUACCGCAUAAAAUCUUCGGCUCACAUGAGCUGAUGAUCAAAGGAGCAAUUCGCUUGAGGAGGGGGUCGCGGCUGAUUAGCUAGUUGGUAGGGUAAUG